Molecule: ribosomal RNA, 264 nt
Filed under: uncultured Mollicutes bacterium
Lineage: Bacteria; Bacillati; Mycoplasmatota; Mollicutes
Description: partial 16S ribosomal RNA
Rfam family: Bacterial small subunit ribosomal RNA
Source: RNAcentral
ACUACCAUUCAGUUGAGGACUCUAAUGAGACUGCCAACGAUAAGUUGGAGGAAGGUGGGGAUGACGUCAAAUCAUCAUGCCCUUUAUGACCUGGGCUACAAACGUACUACAAUGGCCGGUACAAAGAGAUGCGAAGUGGCGACAUGGAGCGAACCUCAGAAAGCCGGUUUCAGUUCGGAUUGCAGGCUGCAAUUCGCCUGCAUGAAGUCGGAAUCGCUAGUAAUCGCAGGUCAGCAUACUGCGGUGAAUACGUUCCCGGGCCUU